RNAcentral lists this ribosomal RNA (484 nucleotides) under uncultured bacterium. Its description in RNAcentral is "partial 16S ribosomal RNA". It matches the Rfam family "Bacterial small subunit ribosomal RNA", at positions 29 to 507 of the family's 1533-position model. The record is from RNAcentral.
AUUGAACGCUGGCGGCAUGCUUUACACAUGCAAGUCGAGCGGCAGCGCGGGCUUCGGCCUGGCGGCGAGUGGCGAACGGGUGAGUAAUACAUCGGAACGUGCCCAGUAGUGGGGGAUAGCUCGGCGAAAGCCGGAUUAAUACCGCAUACGACCUGAGGGUGAAAGCGGGGGAUCUUCGGACCUCGCGCUAUUGGAGCGGCCGAUGGCAGAUUAGCUAGUUGGUGGGGUAAAGGCCUACCAAGGCGACGAUCUGUAGCUGGUCUGAGAGGACGACCAGCCACACUGGGACUGAGACACGGCCCAGACUCCUACGGGAGGCAGCAGUGGGGAAUUUUGGACAAUGGGCGAAAGUCUGAUCCAGCAAUGCCGCGUGUGUGAUGAAGGCCUUCGGGUUGUAAAGCACUUUUGGCGGGAACGAAAAGGACUGUGCCAAUACCACGGUUCGAUGACGGUACCCGCAGAAUAAGCACCGGCUAACUACGUG